AUAUUUUCGGCCUCUUUCAUCGUAACUAAGCACUUACUACACACUGGCCAUAACUUUUGCAGUAUGAGGCGUGACAGCAAAACUAUCAUGAAUUUCUUUUCUUUUUCACAAUUUCAUGCAUAGAAGAUUCAUUCUUACAGUAGAUGUGAGCAUACAAUUUUUUUUUUGAGAACUUUCACCUUUUCACUUAAAGGAAACACUUUGUGGCUUUUCUUUGACAUAUCUGAAUUGCCAGCAUCACUACUCUUGUGUUUGGGGGCCAUUAUUAAGUAAAACAAAGGCAGUUUGAACACAGGCACUGUCAUAAGACAGUGAAUUGGAUAAUUGAGGAGGCUACUGAAGUGUCUAACAAGAGGGUCAGGUCUACAGCAUGGGUACACUGGACAAAGGGAUGAUUCAUGUCCUGGGUGGGAAGGAGUAGGAUGGUGCGAGAUUUCAUUAUACUACUCAGAACGGUGCACAAAGUAAAACCUGUGAAUUAUUUAUUUCUGAGAUUUUCCAUGUAAUGUUUUUGGACUGCAGUUGACCUUGGGUAACUGAAACCAUGGAAAGCAAAACCGAAGCUAAGGGGAGACUACUGUUGUCAAGGAAAUGUAGCAUAUGAAAGGGCACAGGAGUUUGAAUCUGAAGCACCUCUUUUGCCUGCUAGCUGGAGGACUUUGAGCAAGUCAUUCAGUUUCCCUGAGUCUAUUUCCAGGGUUAUGAUGGGACCCCAUGGCUAUUGGAAUCAUCUCAAAGAUCCCUAUUUCUCAGGCUAAUCUCAAAUUGUGAUAGUGACUUUGUGAUUGGGAUAACUAUGUAAUGAAAAUUUGAUCAGACUACUUAUUUUCCAUAGGCUUCUAUUUUGUCACUAGCUGUAGAGAAUUAGGGUUUUCUAUAUAUAAAUCAUGUCAUCAGUAAACAGAGACACUUCUUGAAUUUCUUCUUUUUCUAUAUGGAUGCCUUUUUAUUUUUAUUUUUAUUUUGCCUAAUUACUCUGGCUAGGACUUCCAGUACUGUGUUGAACAGAAGUGAUGAGAGUGAGCAUCCUUGUUUUGUUCCUGAUCUCUUAGAGGAAAAGCUUUUCACCAUUGAGUUUAACGUUAGCUGUGGGAAAAGGGAGCUUUUUGAAGCUUAUUAAAAAACAGUCCAGGUUUCGGUUCUCUGGCGAUGGAUGGUUGGAUGGAUAUAUAUAAAAUAUAGACACAUAUAUAUGAAUAUAUGGAUGGCUAUAUAUGAUAUAUAUAUCAUAUAUAUCAUAUAUAUAUAUAUAUGGAGAGAGAGAGAAAAAGAGGGAGAUGACCACAUUUAUUGGUGAAAACCAACCAACUUGCCCUUCUGUAAACAUAAUUCAGCAAGAGUUAUUUGUGGAGUACCGGAAUUGGUGAGAAUUUCGAUAGCUUUUCUGUUAUAACGCUUUUGCCAACUGCAGCAAUUGAUUCAGGUUUUUCUCGUCUUUUACUGUCAUCGAGGGAAAAUCUGUUGAGAUUCAUCAUUUAAGCUCCCAUAUGUUAAGCCUCUUUCCCAGGAUCAAUGAUUUGCUUUUUUCUAGACAAACGUUUUGUUUUGUUUUGUUUUUUAGAUAAAAUGACCAUUGCUUCUCUAAAGGAAGUAUGCAAAGAAAAGUAAAAUGAGGCUGGGUGCGGUGGCUCGCGCCUGUAAUCCCAACACUUUGGGAGGCCAAGGCAGGUGGAUCACGAGGUCAAGAGAUCAAAACCAUCCUGGCCAACAUGGUGAAACGCCAUCUCUACUAAAAAUUAAAAAAAUUAGCUGGGCGUCGUGGUGCACACCUGUAGUCUCAGCUACUCUGGAGCCUGAGGCAGGACAAUCGCUUGAACCCGGGAGGCGGAGGUUGCAUUGAGCCGAGAUCAUGCCACCGCACUCCAGCCUGGCAACAGAGCGAGACUGCAUCUCAAAAAAGAAAAAAAAAGUAAAAUUGAAGGCAUUGUAAUUUAAUCUAGCUAUAGACUUAGAGCACCUGUACAACUUCUAUAGUUGUCAGUCAUUUAAAUCUCUGUGUGCUGCCUUUGGAACAUGGGGGACAUAAUGAUCUACUCUUAUAGAAUAAGAUGCUGAUUAAAUAGAUAAUGCUUUUAAAAUAUUUUGAAUUAAAGAUAUUUUAAUGUGUAAGUAUACUGCAACUCAUUUAAACAAAUCUACUUGGUAGUGAAGCUAUCUGAUUGUACGGGAAAAAAUAUUGCCCUUAUGAUUUAGAACAGUGCGUGCAAUAUGAGCUACAAAUGUGAGCCAAAUAUGUAAUUUUUAUUUUUCGAGAUGGAGUCUCACUCUGUCACCCAGGCUGGAGUGCAAUGGCACGAUCUUGGCUCACUGCAACCUCCACCUCCCAGGUUCAAGUGAUUCUCCUGCCUCAGCCUCUCAUGUAGCUGGGAUUACAGGUAUUCAAGUGAAACCUCCAGGGAUUCCUCAAGGCCUGCCAUUUCAUUUCACAUCAAUUUUCUCAAAUUUUAUGGGAUAAUCACUGUGAAAAAAACAUUUUAAAUGGUCCAUUUUCAAGGCAUGAUAAAUCUAACUACUGGCAGCCAGCCUAAGGAUGUAAAAAACCACACAGCUUGUGCACCUGGAAAGUCACGAUAAGCGAACAGACUGUAAAGGAGAGGUCAGCCCAUAAAAGGGAAGAAAGUUUCAUUAUUGGGAAAUCAAACUUAAGCUGGGAAGGCGAUGGGAGGGUAUAACCUUAUAAGGGGGGUAAUAAAACUUAGGCUUUGUCUGGAAAGAUUGUAACCCGAUAGUACUCGACCAGUGAGGAACUGGGGCAGGGACUUGCAUGCUAGGAGAUAAAUUACAUGCUGAUUUAUCAUUAGGAGAUAAAUUAGGAGAUUGGGUGUGCCUGCCUACCAGACACCCAAUCUUGCAAGACCACCAUGCAAAGUCUUGCUUCCACUGUUCUUUGUGUCUCCAAGUCCAUUCUUUGAGUUUGGAUGGGUGAAUGUGUUUCUCACAAUCACUUUCUAAAGAAGGCAUAAAUGAAUAUUACUGCCAUUCUCCAGCCUCUGUCCCUAUUAUCCACCUCUAGCCUACAUGUCAUGUUCUGGCCAAACAGAAAAGAAGGUUGAACUCCAGGGAAUAAAAAAGCAUGGUUAACUAGAAAUACGACCAGUAAUACCCAAGCCCUGUUAGUAUGUUCCCUUUGCAUUAUUUGUGGAUAAAGCACUUUUCAACAAGAUGUGGAAGUAUAAUAUUCUUACAUUUAUGCCUGAAGUUAUUAACCAGUAAUUGUUCCAAGUGACUUUUUUUGAAUGACAUUUAAUGGGACUAUACAGAUAAUUUCAUACUAUCCAUGUUUUUACCCAACUGAGGAACUAUUUACAAGAUCAGACUGCAAACAGAAAAUAAAUCUGUGUACAAAAAAAUGAUUUAGAAUUCAGAGAUAUCCUUCAUUCCUUUCUCUCCUUACCCCUUACAUUCCG
RNAcentral lists this long non-coding RNA (3407 nucleotides) under Homo sapiens (human). RNAcentral describes it as "HSALNT0351509". The record is from RNAcentral. Lineage: Eukaryota; Metazoa; Chordata; Mammalia; Primates; Hominidae.